AAGAGUUUUAUAACUCCCAAACCCAUGUGAACAUACCUUCUGUUGCCUCGGCAGGGCGCGGGGGCCCCGGGCUUGCCCUGGGACCGCCGCGGCUCACCCUGCCGGUGGCCCUGAAAACUCUGUUUAGUACCUGACUUCUGAAAUCAUAACUAAAUAAGUUA
RNAcentral lists this unclassified non-coding RNA (161 nucleotides) under uncultured Xylariales. Its description in RNAcentral is "sequence contains ITS1". Lineage: Eukaryota; Fungi; Ascomycota; Sordariomycetes; Xylariales. The record is from RNAcentral.